RNAcentral lists this ribosomal RNA (253 nucleotides) under uncultured bacterium. RNAcentral describes it as "partial 16S ribosomal RNA". It matches the Rfam family "Bacterial small subunit ribosomal RNA", at positions 524 to 776 of the family's 1533-position model. The record is from RNAcentral.
UACGGAGGAUGCGAGCGUUAUCCGGAUUUAUUGGGUUUAAAGGGUGCGUAGGCGGGACUGCAAGUCAGAUGUGAAAACCACGGGCUCAACCUGUGGCCUGCAUUUGAAACUGUAGUUCUUGAGUACUGGAGAGGCAGACGGAAUUCCUAGUGUAGCGGUGAAAUGCGUAGAUAUUAGGAGGAACACCAGUGGCGAAGGCGGUCUGCUGGACAGCAACUGACGCUGAGGCGCGAAAGCGUGGGGAGCAAACAGG